This 222-nucleotide non-coding RNA is filed under the name Butyrivibrio sp. YAB3001. Lineage: Bacteria; Bacillati; Bacillota; Clostridia; Lachnospirales; Lachnospiraceae. The record is from RNAcentral.
GAAAUCCCAUUUGGUAAGGUCUAGCCAACCACCAAUAGCGACCUUGAACAUGCGUUGGUAACAGCGUAGGUUAAGCGUAGGAAGUUAGGCGAUAGGGUCAUAAGGCAUGUUAGCCCCGAAAUAAAUUAAGAUGGUGUGCCGACGUAAUUAAGCGAUGCGGAAGGCAACACGCGUGCAAUUGCUAAUGGCGAAGAUUGCCGCGACGCCACGGGGUUGAGAGUC